GAAGUAGUCUCGUUGGUGACCAGCGGAGGGUCAUUACCGAGUUUACAACUCCCAAACCCCUGUGAACAUACCUUAAUGUUGCCUCGGCGGAUCAGCCCGCGCCCCGUAAAACGGGACGGCCCGCCAGAGGACCCAAACUCUAAUGUUUCUUAUUGUAACUUCUGAGUAAAACAAACAAAUAAAUCAAAACUUUCAACAACGGAUCUCUUGGUUCUGGCAUCGAUGAAGAACGCAGCAAAAUGCGAUAAGUAAUGUGAAUUGCAGAAUUCAGUGAAUCAUCGAAUCUUUGAACGCACAUUGCGCCCGCUGGUAUUCCGGCGGGCAUGCCUGUUCGAGCGUCAUUUCAACCCUCAAGCCCCCGGGUUUGGUGUUGGGGAUCGGCUCUGCCUUACGGCGGUGCCGCCCCCGAAAUACAUUGGCGGUCUCGCUGCAGCCUCCAUUGCGUAGUAGCUAACACCUCGCAACUGGAACGCGGCGCGGCCAUGCCGUAAAACCCCAACUUCUGAAUGUUGACCUCGGAUCAGGUAGGAAUACCCGCUGAACUUAAGCAUAUCAAAGUGGGGGAGGAAACUCGAUAGGG
This 580-nucleotide ribosomal RNA is filed under the name Fusarium avenaceum. Its description in RNAcentral is "eukaryotic LSU rRNA". The stretch from base 188 to 341 matches the Rfam family "5.8S ribosomal RNA". The record is from RNAcentral. Lineage: Eukaryota; Fungi; Ascomycota; Sordariomycetes; Hypocreales; Nectriaceae.